GACGUAGGGCGCGAGCGUUGUCCGGAUUUAUUGGGCGUAAAGAGCUCGUAGGCGACUUGUCGCGUCGUCCGUGAAAACCUGGGGCUCAACCCCAGGCUUGCGGUCGAUACGGGCAGGCUCGAGUUCGGUAGGGGAGACUGGAAUUCCUGGUGUAGCGGUGAAAUGCGCAGAUAUCAGGAGGAACACCGGUGGCGAAGGCGGGUCUCUGGGCCGAUACUGACGCUGAGGAGCGAAAGCGUGGGGAGCGAACAGG
This 253-nucleotide ribosomal RNA is filed under the name uncultured bacterium. RNAcentral describes it as "partial 16S ribosomal RNA". It matches the Rfam family "Bacterial small subunit ribosomal RNA", at positions 524 to 776 of the family's 1533-position model. The record is from RNAcentral.